Molecule: transfer RNA, 60 nt
Filed under: Paratimomenus flavocapitatus
Lineage: Eukaryota; Metazoa; Arthropoda; Insecta; Dermaptera; Forficulidae
Description: tRNA-Asp
Source: RNAcentral
CGUAAAUUAAAUAAUAUCAGUUUGUCAAAUUGAAGUGGCCGAUCAGGCAUCCCUUUAUGC